This 497-nucleotide ribosomal RNA is filed under the name uncultured bacterium. Its description in RNAcentral is "partial 16S ribosomal RNA". It matches the Rfam family "Bacterial small subunit ribosomal RNA", at positions 28 to 507 of the family's 1533-position model. The record is from RNAcentral.
GAUGAACGCUGGCGGCGUGCCUAAUACAUGCAAGUCGAGCGAACAGACGAGGAGCUUGCUCCUCUGACGUUAGCGGCGGACGGGUGAGUAACACGUGGAUAACCUACCUAUAAGACUGGGAUAACUUCGGGAAACCGGAGCUAAUACCGGAUAAUAUAUUGAACCGCAUGGUUCAAUAGUGAAAGACGGUUUUGCUGUCACUUAUAGAUGGAUCCGCGCCGCAUUAGCUAGUUGGUAAGGUAACGGCUUACCAAGGCAACGAUGCGUAGCCGACCUGAGAGGGGGAUCGGCCACACUGGAACUGAGACACGGUCCAGACUCCUACGGGAGGCAGCAGUAGGGAAUCUUCCGCAAUGGGCGAAAGCUUGACGGAGCAACGCCGCGUGAGUGAUGAAGGUCUUCGGAUCGUAAAACUCUGUUAUGAGGGAAGAACAAAUGUGUAAGUAACUAUGCACGUCUUGACGGUACCUAAUCAGAAAGCCACGGCUAACUACGUG